This 23-nucleotide non-coding RNA is filed under the name Arabidopsis thaliana (thale cress). The record is from RNAcentral. Lineage: Eukaryota; Viridiplantae; Streptophyta; Magnoliopsida; Brassicales; Brassicaceae.
GCCGACGAAGCGACCGCAGCUGC